AAUUUAUUUGAUAGUACCUUACUACUUGGAUAACCGUGGUAAUUCUAGAGCUAAUACAUGCGUUAAGGCCCGACUUUUUGGAGGGCUGUAUUUAUUAGGUAAAAACCAAUGCUAGCAAUAGCUUACUGGUGAUUCAUAAUAACUUCUCGGAUCGUAUGACCUUGUGUCGACGACGUAUCAUUCAAAUUUCUGCCCUAUCAACUUUUGAUGGUAGGAUAGGGGCCUACCAUGGUGAUAACGGGUAACGGAGAAUUAGGGUUCGAUUCCGGAGAGGGAGCCUGAGAAAUGGCUACCACAUCCAAGGAAGGCAGCAGGCGCGCAAAUUACCCAAUCCUGACACAGGGAGGUAGUGACAAAAAAUAACAAUGCAGGGCCUUACGGUCACUGCAAUUGGAAUGAGUACAAUUUAAACCACUUAACGAGUAUCCAUUGGAGGGCAUGUCUGGUGCCAGCAGCCGCGGUAAUUCCAGCUCCAAUAGCGUAUAUUAAAGUUGUUGCAGUUAAAAAGCUCGUAGUUGAAUUUCGGAGGAGAGUUCCUGGUCUAGGUUCGCCUUGUACUGGGAGGCUCGAAUCUUUUUUCUGGGGAAGCGGGGUGUCCUUAAGUGGGCGCCUCGGGGAACCAGGACGAUUACCUUGAGAAAAAUAGAGUGUUCAAAGCAGGCUUUUGCUUGAAUACGUUAGCAUGGAAUAAUAAAAUAGGACUUUGGUUCUAUUUUGUUGGUUUUAAGGACCAAUGUCAUGAUGAAUAGGGACAGUUGGGGGCAUUCGUAUUCCGAAGCUAGAGGUGAAAUUCUUGGAUUUUCGGAAGACGAACUACUGCGAAAGCAUUUGCCAAGGAUGUUUUCAUUAAUCAAGAACGAAAGUUAGGGGAUCGAAGACGAUUAGAUACCGUCGUAGUCUUAACCAUAAACGAUGCCGACUAGGGAUCGGUGAAAGUCGAUUGUGACUUCAUCGGCACCUUACGAGAAAUCAAAGUUUCUGGGUUCUGGGGGGAGUAUAGUCGCAAGGCCGAAACUUAAAGGAAUUGACGGAAGGGCACCACCAGGAGUGGAGCCUGCGGCUUAAUUUGACCCAACACGGGAAAACUCACCAGGUCCAGACAUAGUAGGGAUUGACAGAUUGAGAGCUCUUUCAUGAUUCUAUGGGUGGUGGUGCAUGGCCGUUCUUAGUUGGUGGAGUGAUUUGUCUGGUUAAUUCCGAUAACGAACGAGACCUUAACCUGCUAACUAGUUUACUGAACGUGAGUUCUGGCAAACUUCUUAGAGGGACUAUCUGUGACUAACAGAUGGAAGUUUGAGGCAAUAACAGGUCUGUAAUGCCCUUAGAUGUUCUGGGCCGCACGCGCGCUACACUGAUAAAGUCAGCGAGUAUUCACCUUGACCGGAAGGUUUGGGUAAUCUUUUGAAACUUUAUCGUGAUGGGGAUUGAGCAUUGCAAUUAUUGCUCAUGAACGAGGAAUUCCUAGUAAGCGCGAGUCAUCAGCUCGCGUUGAUUACGUCCCUGCCCUUUGUACACACCGCCCGUCGAUACUACCGAUUGAAUGGCUUAGUGAGACCUUUGGAUGGAGCCCUAGCCGCAAGGCAUCAGGGAGCCAGAAAUUGUUCAAACUUAUCCAUUUAGAGGAAGUAAAAGUCGUAACAAGGUU
This 1645-nucleotide ribosomal RNA is filed under the name metagenome. RNAcentral's name for it is "SSU rRNA". It matches the Rfam family "Eukaryotic small subunit ribosomal RNA". The record is from RNAcentral.